GUGCAGGGCAAGAACGAGGGGAGCAAGACGGGGCUCGGACUCUUUGAGAAUUGUAGUACAAAAUGAUGUCUUAGUCCCAACGUAGGCACCACAUCUCAAAUAGAAGUCAUAACAGGAACGUAAGACACUACCUACCUGGGAUUCCUUAACUUAAAUAGUCUCUGUCUUCAGACAGAGGAACUCUCAGACAUUAAGAAAGGGUUGCACCAGCUCAAGGCCUAAAGUUCCAGAGCUGUGUGGACUGAAAAUCUACAGGCACUUGGGGCCAUCACUAAGUAUCUACUAAGCACCUACUAUCGCCAGGUCUCAUUCCAGAUACUGGUGGUACAGCAGUGAGCUAAAUAGACCCUACAAGAUUCUUAAGAGAUUGGGAGAAUCUAAUUAAAUUUCCGGCCACUCGCCCUGGUUAAUUCAGCCUGCCUAAUUGUUAAAUUUCUACAAAGCUCCCCUCUGCUUCGUUGCCAUGCUGCAGAUAGGUGUCAGUGCCUGUGGGACCUGAGCAUCCGAAGGUUCAAGAGAAAGAAGAGGUUAGCUUUGAAACACUGCCUGGAAAUGACAGCACCACUCGUUCCCCAGCUGCCAGAGAGAGGAUCCCCAUUGUGACCUGAGCAUCAUGGCGGAGUGAGGGGUUCCUUUGUCUCUCUCCAAUAAGUUACAGCCAAAGCACACCAUUAACCAACAGAAGAUUCCCUACACAGCACAACAGGAUACCUGAGAGGUCCAGGCAGCUGCACAUCUGAAGAGUGACUGUAGCUGGAAAGGAAAUUUGCGAGUGAAGAUAUGAACCUCGGAAUGAAUCCCAAGCUUGAGAAGAGAGAAUACGCCUGUUCCUCACACUGGCAUCAGACGCAGGUCAAAAAUGAGCCUGAGUAGCUCCUGUUUGGUGAGAUAAAAUCCUGUCUUGGAAGGCAGGGAGAAGGGGACAAGCAGACCAUGGUGACAACAGGAACAGGCGCUGGCAGCUUCGGCCACUGCAGCCAGACACCCGUUUUCACCCCCGGGUCUCCUCCAGCAGUUGUCUCCUCAGUGCCUGUCCUCUGCGCGUAUUUCAGGCAGCAAAGAUGUUGCCCAGUUCGUCUUGGCAGCAGCGCUACAAGUUUGUCAGUCCAGCACCAUGAUCCUGUUUCACAAAUGGAGAAACUGAGAGUCAAUGCAAUUACAGGUUUCCCCCGUUACCUGAAAGUUUGCUUUACACUGCUUUGUUUUACGAAAAACCCAC
This 1219-nucleotide long non-coding RNA is filed under the name Equus caballus (horse). RNAcentral's name for it is "lncRNA (ENSECAG00000047869.1)". Lineage: Eukaryota; Metazoa; Chordata; Mammalia; Perissodactyla; Equidae. The record is from RNAcentral.